RNAcentral lists this ribosomal RNA (1323 nucleotides) under Micromorphus albipes. RNAcentral's name for it is "16S ribosomal RNA". The stretch from base 619 to 1323 matches the Rfam family "Archaeal large subunit ribosomal RNA", at positions 1424 to 2914 of the family's 2987-position model. Lineage: Eukaryota; Metazoa; Arthropoda; Insecta; Diptera; Dolichopodidae. The record is from RNAcentral.
AUUAUAUUGUUAUUUUAAAUUUAUUUUAUUAAAAAUAAUUAUAUUAAAUUAAAUUGUUAUAGUAUAUUAUAUAGAAUUAAUAAUUUUAAUGAUAGUUUAUUAGUAUCGUGAGAGAAUUUUGAAAUAAUUGAAAAAUUUAUAUUAAAAAAGAAAAUUUAAUUUAUUGUACCUUGUGUAUCAGGGUUUAUUAAAUAAUUAUUAUUUAUAUAAUAAUCUCGAAAAAAAAAGAUUUAAGUAUAUAUAAUAGUUAAUGUAACAUAAUUAUUAUUAAUAUAUAUUUAGAAAUUAAAUGUUAUUCGGUUUUUUUGAUAUCUAGUUUUUUAAGAAAUAAAUUUAAUUUAGUUAUUUAAAAUUUUUAUUAUUUUAUUUAUAAUAAAAUAAUAUAAUUAAAUAAUAUUAAUUAACGGGAUGAGCUGUUAAUUAAAUUUUUAAAAAUUAAUUUUUUUUUAAAUUUUUAUAUGCUUAGAAUUAGCAAUUAUUUAAAAUUUUGUUUUAAAUUGAUUUUAUUUUAUUGUAUAAGAUUUAUUAUAUUUUAAAUUUUUUAUUAAAAUUUUAUAUUUAAUAUAAAAAUAUAAAUAAUAAUGAUAAAAUUAGUAUAAAUUAUUUUAUAAAAAUUAUUUAAUUUGAUAGGUUUUUUUAAGGAAUUCGGCAAAUUUUAUGUUCGCCUGUUUAACAAAAACAUGUCUUUUUGAAUUUUAAUAUAAAGUCUAGUCUGCCCUAUGAAAAUAUUUAAAUGGCCGCAGUAUUUUAACUGUGCGAAGGUAGCAUAAUCAUUAGUCUUUUAAUUGGAGGCUUGUAUGAACGAUUGGACGAGGCAUAAGCUGUCUUAAAGUAAAUUUAAUUAAAACUUUAUUUUUUAGUGAAAAAGCUAAAAUUUUUUUAAAAGACGAGAAGACCCUAUAGAUCUUUAUAAUUUAAAAUAUUAUUAUAAAAUAGGAUUUAUAUUUGUAUAAUAUUUAUAUUAUUUUGUUGGGGUGACAUUGAAAUUAUAAUAACUUUCAAUAUUUUAAAACAUAAAUUCAUGAAAUUUUGAUCCUUUAUUAUAGAUUAAUAAUUUAAGUUACCUUAGGGAUAACAGCGUAAUUAUUUUGGAGAGUUCAAAUCGAUAAAAUAGAUUGCGACCUCGAUGUUGGAUUAAGAUUAAUUCUAGGAGUAGAAGCUUAGAAUAUUAAGUCUGUUCGACUUUUAAUUUCUUACAUGAUCUGAGUUCAAACCGGCGUAAGCCAGGUUGGUUUCUAUCUUUAAUCUAAUUUAAUAUUUUAGUACGAAAGGACCAAAUAUUAAAAAAAAUAUUUUUUUUUAUUUAGAAUAUUAUUAAAUUUA